This 327-nucleotide ribosomal RNA is filed under the name uncultured eukaryote. RNAcentral's name for it is "partial 18S ribosomal RNA". It matches the Rfam family "Eukaryotic small subunit ribosomal RNA", at positions 1470 to 1796 of the family's 1831-position model. The record is from RNAcentral.
CCCCUAGAUGUUCUGGGCCGCACGCGCGCUACACUGAUUCAUGCAACAAGUUUUGUCCUUGGCUGAUAGGCCUGGGUAAUCUUUGAACGUGAAUCGUGAUGGGGAUAGAUGAUUGCAAUUAUUCAUCUUCAACGAGGAAUUCCUAGUAAACGCAAGUCAUCAGCUUGCAUUGAUUACGUCCCUGCCCUUUGUACACACCGCCCGUCGCACCUACCGAUUGAAUGGUCCGGCGAAAUCUUCGGAUCUGAGAGAUGUCUGAUUAAUUUCGGACGCCUUUUGGAAAAGUUGCUUAAACCUUACCAUUUAGAGGAAGGUGAAGUCGUAACA